Oreochromis aureus is the source of this 435-nucleotide long non-coding RNA. RefSeq lists it as uncharacterized. The transcript is spliced from 4 exons. NCBI's taxonomy places the organism in Eukaryota, Metazoa, Chordata, Actinopteri, Cichliformes, Cichlidae. The record is from RefSeq and is a predicted model, not a curated record.
UUUAUUUUAAAGUCCAGCCUGUGUCUGCUGCAGAGAGAGGUCAGAGGUCACAGUCUGCAGGGUCCAGCUGUCCGUCUGUGAGGAGUGACCGGUCCAAACGUGAACCUCCAUUCUUUAGUGGUGAACCUGGACCAACGAGAGAGAGGAAGAGGAGUGGUGUUUGUGAGGAGGAGCAGCUGUCCUGCUGUGCUUUGUGUCAGGACGUCCUGAAGGAUCCAGUCUCUACCAGCUGUGGACACUGGUUCUGCAGACAGUGCAUCUCCUCAUACUGGGACCAGUCUGCCUCAUCAGGAGACUCCUCCUGUUCCCAGUGUGGAGAAAAUCCCAGAUCCAGAGCUGGACUGCAGACAGCCAGUCAGAGCAGCUGUGUACAAAAUGUUGGUCUGCAGGAGGUUUUAGAUGAACAUAAGAUCAGUCUGAGGAGGAGAUGUGAAC